CCUACGGGUGGCUGCAGUGGGGAAUCUUGCACAAUGGGGGAAACCCUGAUGCAGCGACGCCGCGUGAGUGAUGAAGCCCUUCGGGGUGUAAAGCUCUUUCGGCCCGGACGAUAAUGACGGUACGGGAAGAAGAAGCUGCGGCUAACUACGUGCCAGCAGCCGCGGUAAUACGUAGGCAGCGAGCGUUGUUCGGAGUUACUGGGCGUAAAGCGUGCGUAGGCGGUGGUCCAAGUCUGGUGUGAAAUCUCCCGGCUCAACCGGGAGGGUGCGCCGGA
This 275-nucleotide ribosomal RNA is filed under the name uncultured bacterium. RNAcentral's name for it is "partial 16S ribosomal RNA". It matches the Rfam family "Bacterial small subunit ribosomal RNA", at positions 338 to 630 of the family's 1533-position model. The record is from RNAcentral.